Molecule: ribosomal RNA, 189 nt
Filed under: uncultured bacterium
Lineage: Bacteria
Description: partial 16S rRNA
Rfam family: Bacterial small subunit ribosomal RNA
Source: RNAcentral
CCUACGGGAGGCAGCAGUGAGGAAUAUUGGACAAUGGGUGAGAGCCUGAUCCAGCCAUCCCGCGUGCAGGAAGACGGCCUUAUGGGUUGUAAACUGCUUUUAUAUAGGAAUAAACCACUUUACGAGUAGAGUGUUGAAGGUACUAUAUGAAUAAGCACCGGCUAACUCCGUGCCAGCAGCCGCGGUAAU